This 200-nucleotide ribosomal RNA is filed under the name uncultured bacterium. Its description in RNAcentral is "partial 16S ribosomal RNA". It matches the Rfam family "Bacterial small subunit ribosomal RNA", at positions 28 to 225 of the family's 1533-position model. The record is from RNAcentral.
GAUGAACGCUAGCGGCAGGCUUAAUACAUGCAAGUCGAGGGGCAGCGCGGGUAGCAAUACCUGGCGGCGACCGGCAAACGGGUGCGGAACACGUACGCAACCUUCCUUCAAGUGGGGAAUAGCCCAGGGAAACUUGGAUUAAUACCCCUUAAUAUUAUUGGGUGGCAUCACUUGAUAAUUAAAGCUCCGGCGCUUGAAGA